CGGCGCCCGCGCGGUCCCUCCGGGGGUGCCCCCUCGAGACUCCGGAGAGCGAUCAGCAGGAAAAACCUCCAUACCUUGGAUUCUAGAUCCCUGGGUCCCCUUACCCCAGGAGGGCACUAAUAGCUUACUCAGUGGUAUUGAGGCUGUCCAGCAGACCAUCCCACUUUGAUUUGGAAGAUCAGUGCCUAUGCAAGAGGAAAAGCAUGCAAUUGGGAAUAGGACAGAGGGUUUCCAGAGAGGAGGAACACCCAGGACAAAGGAGGGGUAACACGAAUUCCUGAGAACUGACCACCAAGUUCAUGACUUUUGGAGCCCAGACCAAAAGUCUUCUAGGGCCCAAGCUUGGGACAGAAGGAGUGGAUGCCACCAUCAGAGGAUGCCUGUUACCUCAAGGUAUGUCCAAGUAUGAGUAGGCCUGGGCACAAAGCCAGGUAAGCAGGACCUGCUUCAGGUGGGCAAGGUUACUGGAUCGCCUCAAGGAGAGGAUUCCCCAAGGCCCUGGUCAACAGGGCUGCUUUAAAAUUGUUGUAAUACCCAAGGACUUACUUUAGGAUACCCUACCCCACAUCAUAUAAAACGUAUUGAAAUGUACCAUGUCCCAGCUUAAAUAAAAUUUCUUUAGCUAAAAAAGUUGUUUUUGAGUUUUUAUAAUUUUGCUUUUAUUUUUCUUUGUUUAAUUCAUUUAAUUUAUGU
This 693-nucleotide long non-coding RNA is filed under the name Homo sapiens (human). Its description in RNAcentral is "HSALNT0315781". The record is from RNAcentral. Lineage: Eukaryota; Metazoa; Chordata; Mammalia; Primates; Hominidae.